RNAcentral lists this ribosomal RNA (230 nucleotides) under uncultured bacterium. RNAcentral describes it as "partial 16S ribosomal RNA". It matches the Rfam family "Bacterial small subunit ribosomal RNA", at positions 1271 to 1500 of the family's 1533-position model. The record is from RNAcentral.
UACUCAAAAAGAACAUNUCAGUUCAGAUUGCAGGCUGCAACUCGCCUGCAUGAAGUCGGAAUUGCUAGUAAUCGUAGGUCAGCAUACUACGGUGAAUACGUUCCCGGGCCUUGUACACACCGCCCGUCAAACCAUGAGAGUUGGCAACACCCGAAGUCGGUAGUCUAACCGCAAGGAGGACGCCGCCGAAGGUGGGGUUGAUGAUUAGGGUUAAGUCGUAACAAGGUACC